Lagopus leucura (white-tailed ptarmigan) is the source of this 342-nucleotide long non-coding RNA. RefSeq lists it as uncharacterized. The transcript is spliced from 3 exons. NCBI's taxonomy places the organism in Eukaryota, Metazoa, Chordata, Aves, Galliformes, Phasianidae. The record is from RefSeq and is a predicted model, not a curated record.
GAACGCUGUGUAGGUGCUAAGUAAGGAGCAGCUCAAGGAUCUGAUUCCAGCUCCCAAGAGAGAUGAAGCUAAGACAACUGGAUACUCACGCACAGAGUUCUCUGAGGUUGAGCCACCCUUCUCUGCUCCCUUUCGCUACAAUUAGUUUGGCUUUCAGAAACUGGCAGUCAGGCAAGAUAGAUUCCACUGCAGGUGCCAGGGUAUCGUUGGUAAUGAUGCACUUGGCCUUUGAAGCCUGGAGUCGGUAUAAAAUAUCUUUGGCUGUUAACUGGGAUGUUCCUGGAAUGAAGACAAUUCCUGGAAAAAAAGCAACAAAGAAUUUGGAAAAUGGUCCAAUUGUCU